RNAcentral lists this ribosomal RNA (492 nucleotides) under uncultured bacterium. RNAcentral describes it as "partial 16S ribosomal RNA". It matches the Rfam family "Bacterial small subunit ribosomal RNA", at positions 29 to 507 of the family's 1533-position model. The record is from RNAcentral.
AGUGAACGCUGGCGGUAGGCCUAACACAUGCAAGUCGAACGGCAGCACAGUAAGAGCUUGCUCUUACGGGUGGCGAGUGGCGGACGGGUGAGGAAUACAUCGGAAUCUACUUUUUCGUGGGGGAUAACGUAGGGAAACUUACGCUAAUACCGCAUACGACCUACGGGUGAAAGCAGGGGAUCUUCGGACCUUGCGCGAUUGAAUGAGCCGAUGUCGGAUUAGCUAGUUGGCGGGGUAAAGGCCCACCAAGGCGGCGAUCCGUAGCUGGUCUGAGAGGAUGAUCGGCCACACUGGAACGGAGACACGGUCCAGACUCCUACGGGAGGCAGCAGUGGGGAAUAUUGGACAAUGGGCGCAAGCCUGGUCCAGCCAUACCGCGUGGGUGAAGAAGGCCUUCGGGUUGUAAAGCCCUUUUGUUGGGAAAGAAAAGCAGCAGGUUAAUACCCCGCGGUUCUGACGGUACCCAAAGAAUAAGCACCGGCUAACUUCGUG